AGGGAAGUGGAAGAAAGCUAGCAAUCACUGGCCUCAUCCAGCUCCCAUGCAGCCGGCAGUUCUAAAGGUCUCAUCUCCUCUAAGCACUUGGUGGGAAGAGUUCAGCCUCAUCCCUCAUGGCAGCUCCAGUCAACACCCAACAGAGACCAACCAAAGCCAAGUUGCUGGAAAGGGACUCUGAGUGGCCAGUUUGGGUCAUGUGACUCCAUUGCCCACGGGAGCAGUCUCUCUGAGAAGAAACAGUGUCAGAGCAGGUGGAUAAGCAACAUUCCUGCCUCAGUCAUAGGCCCCAGUGUUCUCCACUGUCCGUCAGUAAGCCAGGCUUGCUUGUCCUGCACAUCUCACUGACACCAACAGUGGAAGUGCUGAUUUCUUCCUGCUGGGACCAACGGGAGCUGGUGAUGACUGUGCCAUGUUCGGGAGGUCACAUGAGGCCAGCAGAGGAUGGAAGAGACCAGCAAAAAGUAAGCAAGCAGAAUCUUAGCAAAUGAUUCAUGAAACUAAAAGGAGAGGGGAAAGCCUCCAACCCUAAAAGACAAGGUUCAAGGCAGUUUCCACAACAGUCCAGCUCAUCAGUGGCACCGUUGGAGCUGUGUCUACCCCACGGGUUGGAGGAAACUAUCCCACCUGGAUAUGAAGUCUUGAGCAAGCCACAGGUAAAUUCAGAAUUUCCUUUGGAACAAGUUUGGUUGAAAUAAGGAGCCAACAUCCAAAUCUGAAUCCUUAUAAAGUCAUCUUUUUUAUAAUUUAUAAGAAUCUUAGCCAGCCCCUGCAAAUCAACUAAUUUCAGAGAAAUCUUCUUUUUAACCUUCUGGAGUGAGGAUAAAAAUUCAAAUUUUCCUAAAGAAGAGGAAAAAAAAUGAGUUAAACCACAAAGCCAGGGUUAUUUCUCCUAGGCAACUGGAUUAAGGCCAAAGAUCCCAAUGGCAGGGCCAGUUGACUUUAUGACACUCACAUGCUUAGAUGGCACCUUAUUCUCCCAAUACCAAAUGUCUGAA
Long non-coding RNA from Homo sapiens (human), 998 nucleotides. The record is from Ensembl. NCBI's taxonomy places the organism in Eukaryota, Metazoa, Chordata, Mammalia, Primates, Hominidae.